This 301-nucleotide ribosomal RNA is filed under the name uncultured bacterium. RNAcentral describes it as "partial 16S ribosomal RNA". It matches the Rfam family "Bacterial small subunit ribosomal RNA", at positions 509 to 807 of the family's 1533-position model. The record is from RNAcentral.
CAGCCGCCGCGGGAAUACGUAGGUGGCAAGCGUUGUCCGGAAUUAUUGGGCGUAAAGGGCUCGCAGGCGGUUUCUUAAGUCUGAUGUGAAAGCCCCCGGCUCAACCGGGGAGGGUCAUUGGAAACUGGGAAACAUGAGUGCAGAAGAGGAGAGUGGAAUUCCACGUGUAGCGGUAAAAUGCGUAGAUCUCGAGAGGAACACCAAUGGCGAAGGCAGCUUCUUGGUCCAUUCCUGACGUUCAUACACGAAAGCGUGGGGAGCAAACAGGAUUAGAUACCCCGGUAGUCCCUGUCUCUUAUAC